This 54-nucleotide ribosomal RNA is filed under the name Laurus azorica. RNAcentral's name for it is "26S ribosomal RNA". The record is from RNAcentral. Lineage: Eukaryota; Viridiplantae; Streptophyta; Magnoliopsida; Laurales; Lauraceae.
AGGAUAACUUCCAUCUUGAUAGUUAUUGGGGGAUUUCAUACGAUAUCCGCGAUC